Molecule: long non-coding RNA, 1438 nt
Filed under: Pogona vitticeps (central bearded dragon)
Lineage: Eukaryota; Metazoa; Chordata; Lepidosauria; Squamata; Agamidae
Description: lncRNA (ENSPVIG00000011600.1)
Source: RNAcentral
GGGCUGCCUUCCAGGCUUUUGACCCAAUAGUCCAAAGAAUUUUAAAAACGAUGGUUCCAAACAAAGACAAGUGCUUUCUGUAUACUUGUGUCCUUGUUUUCAAUUUGCUACCAGUAAGGAAAAACAAGGCAGGCCUCCCAUCUUUGGCCUGCCGGGUAACAAUACCUUGACCAAACUUUGUCAUCCCACUUUGUGAUGUAAUUCAUCACCUUUAUAAAUAUCUGGUCCAGCAGAGACUUUUUGUCCCUCUUUGAGGUAGAGCCAUGUUGUCCUCAAGAGACAAGAAUAUGGAAAGCAGCAGAGGCUCGCUGUCAGCAUAACCAAAAAAGAGAGAGGAAAAGACCCCAGAAGACGUUUCCUCGAGCAAGAGAUCCAGGGUGGGGAAGUUCAUUCUAACUUGCUGCUUAUGUUGCAUUUGUGUCUCUCCACCGAAAUCACCACCAGGGCUGGCGAUUGAUGACAAGUCCAAAGAGGGAAAAGAGUCAGAGGCAUAACACCAUUGCCGGGUAAAGCAUUCUAAAAGUUUGGGCACUGAAAUAGGUGGCAGGGAAAGCCAGGGAGACCUCUGGAGGCAGAGGCGGUUUUCCCGGGGAGGAGGUUAGACCGGGCCUACCAGAGAAGACCCAAGACCUUUUGUCAGAUAAAACAACUGGGGUCAGGAAACCAAGGGUUUUAUACUUCAUCUAUUGCAGCUGCAUUUAUACCGCACCAAGGGAAUCACCAGGAAACAAGAACAACGGAGCCGCCCCACCUCUCCUUCCUCUGGAGCCACCCUGCCUCUCUUUCCUCCUCCUGCGCUGCAGGAGUAAAGAAGUUCCCUGACUGCCCGCAAUAAUUUUCUCUGGGCUUGAGGUGGGGCUGCGUUUCCCAGAGUACUUUGAGGCAGCUCAAAUGAUACCAACAUCAGACCAUGACCACCAACGUAUGGCUCAAUCAGGCAACCAUCCCAUGGGUGUUCAGUUUAAACCUCCCAAACUGGAGCAGAAACAACAAAGCAGCUACUUCAUUUUUACAGCAUCUGAUCCUGAUCUCCCAGUGAACAUUUACAUGCCCCUCUUCAUGUGCAGGAUGCAUUCCAAGAAAAUGGAGCACUCAGCAGUAAAUGUAAUCCCGGCUAUACACUGAAUACUAAGUAACUGUUGACAACAGGGUUGGUUGGUUGCAUGCAUCCAGGAUCUAUUACUGGACUGCCAUCAAGCCACAACUGAAACGCUAACAUUCAAAAUGUCUUUCCAUAAACUCAUGCAAUCAAGAAGCAAGACAUCAAGUUACAAGACAUGAAUAUGAAAUGCAAAAAAGAGCAUAUUGAUGUACUAUAGUGUGGAGAGGGAAUCAUAGAAGAACGAUGUAAAGUGACAUUUUAGAAAAGUAGGCAUCUGUUUCAUAUGGGCCAAUGUGGGUUGGAUGAAAAGCAAUAAUAAAUCAGUUACUUGGUUCA